AUCCCUGUAGCUCAGUUGGUAGAGCAUGGUGUUUGCAACACCAGGGUUGUGGGUUCGAUUCCCACGGGGGGCU
Salmo salar (Atlantic salmon) is the source of this 73-nucleotide non-coding RNA. The record is from Rfam. NCBI's taxonomy places the organism in Eukaryota, Metazoa, Chordata, Actinopteri, Salmoniformes, Salmonidae.